AUUGAACGCUGGCGGCAGGCUUAACACAUGCAAGUCGAGCGGAGAUGAGGUGCUUGCACCUUAUCUUAGCGGCGGACGGGUGAGUAAUGCUUAGGAAUCUGCCUAUUAGUGGGGGACAACAUUCCGAAAGGAAUGCUAAUACCGCAUACGUCCUACGGGAGAAAGCAGGGGAUCUUCGGACCUUGCGCUAAUAGAUGAGCCUAAGUCAGAUUAGCUAGUUGGUGGGGUAAAGGCCUACCAAGGCGACGAUCUGUAGCGGGUCUGAGAGGAUGAUCCGCCACACUGGGACUGAGACACGGACCAGACUCCUACGGGAGGCAGCAGUGGGGAAUAUUGGACAAUGGGGGGAACCCUGAUCCAGCCAUGCCGCGUGUGUGAAGAAGGCCUUAUGGUUGUAAAGCACUUUAAGCGAGGAGGAGGCUCUUUUGGUUAAUACCCAAGAUGAGUGGACGUUACUCGCAGAAUAAGCACCGGCUAACUCUGUGCCAGCAGCCGCCGCGG
RNAcentral lists this ribosomal RNA (501 nucleotides) under uncultured bacterium. RNAcentral's name for it is "partial 16S ribosomal RNA". It matches the Rfam family "Bacterial small subunit ribosomal RNA", at positions 30 to 523 of the family's 1533-position model. The record is from RNAcentral.